Molecule: long non-coding RNA, 226 nt
Filed under: Gallus gallus (chicken)
Lineage: Eukaryota; Metazoa; Chordata; Aves; Galliformes; Phasianidae
Source: RNAcentral
CAGAAUUCUGGAUUCUACAGCUUAUGUUAAAUGGACAAUUUUGCAUAAAAGAAAAAGACAUGGCUUGCACAAAAAAACCUACCUGAAGAAGUGAUGCUAGGUCCUCAGAAGUUCUCUCACCAAGAAGUUCUCUUCAGUUGUACUAAAGGCCUACUGAGGGAAACACAAAGCAUGAUGUGCCCACUUUACCUGACAGAAGUCUACUCUCCACACUGCAGCUAACACG